GAUGAACGCUGGCGGCGUGCCUAAUACAUGCAAGUCGAGCGAACAGAUCAGGAGCUUGCUCCUCUGAAGUCAGCGGCGGACGGGUGAGUAACAUGUGGUUAACCUACCUAUAAGACUGGGAUAACUUCGGGAAACCGGAGCUAAGACCGGAUAACAUUUAGAACCGCAUGGUUCUAAAGUGAAAGAUGGUUUUGCUAUCACUUAUAGAUGGACCCGCGCCGUAUUAGUUAGUUGGUAAGGUAACGGCUUACCAAGGCGACGAUGCGUAGCCGACCUGAGAGGGUGGUCGGCCACACGGGAGCUGAGACACGGUCCAGACUCCGACAGGAGGCAGCGGUAGAGAAUCUUCCGCGAUGGGCGAAAGCCUGACAGAGCAACGCCGGGUGAGUGAUGAAGGGUUUCGGCUCGUAGAACUCUGUUAUUAGGGGAGAACUAAUGUGUAAGUAACUGUGCACAUCUUGACGGUACCUAAACAAGAAGCCACGGCUAACUACGUG
RNAcentral lists this ribosomal RNA (497 nucleotides) under uncultured bacterium. RNAcentral describes it as "partial 16S ribosomal RNA". It matches the Rfam family "Bacterial small subunit ribosomal RNA", at positions 28 to 507 of the family's 1533-position model. The record is from RNAcentral.